This 646-nucleotide long non-coding RNA is filed under the name Manacus vitellinus (golden-collared manakin). RNAcentral describes it as "lncRNA (ENSMVIG00005000487.1)". Lineage: Eukaryota; Metazoa; Chordata; Aves; Passeriformes; Pipridae. The record is from RNAcentral.
AAACUGAAGUACAGAGACCUGUCUUAAAAUUCUUUUAAUUUGAUCUCUUGUGAGAAUACAGCACUAAAUACAGAGAACAAGAUGUUUAUAAAGGAGAAAAAUAAAUGUGCAACGUCCAGCAACUUUGUUUAAACAGCCAGAGAGGUGGUUUGACCACAGUCAAUGGACUUUGUACUAAAGGAGUUGAAGAGAAUGCUCACGUGUUCUGGGAGAAUCCAAGUGUUGCAAUUCUGGAACCAACUGGCUUAAAAAAAAAACCACAAACCAGGUAGGAAACUGGGACUGAGCAGAGUGAAUUUGUGGGUAACCUGCUCUGCACUGUAAAGGAGAGUGUCCAUCCUCUCCAGGCGGUGCAGUUCAGCCCCCAGCAAUCCCCGUGCUCUGAACUACAGUGGCAGAACGUGUUCCUUGGUAAUUAAAGGGAGAUUCACUGCAGGAGUUCUUUCAUCUGCCUUCACAUCUGUCCAGUAUAUCAAACAGCCCUUUGCAAUCCAGUAUUGAUGAAUAGCUGUUCAUUUUCUUAAAUUUGAGAUUAAUAGAGAGGGCAGAGAGUUUUCUAAUUUUUAUAGGUCCGUUUGAGUAUGAAAAAACAACCCGUUGGACUUGUAUCUUCAAACAAUAAAACAGAGGAGAUUUCGUAAUAUCA